Molecule: ribosomal RNA, 207 nt
Filed under: uncultured bacterium
Lineage: Bacteria
Description: partial 16S ribosomal RNA
Rfam family: Bacterial small subunit ribosomal RNA
Source: RNAcentral
UGCGUAGGUGGCUGAGCAAGUCAAAGAUGAAAUCCCGGGGCUCACCCUCGGAACUGUUUUUGAAACUGCUUAGCUUGAGGAUGGUUGAGGAGAAUGGAAUUCCCGGUGGAGCGGUGAAAUGCGUAGAUAUCGGGAGGAACACCUGAGGCGAAGGCGAUUCUCUGGACCAUUCCUGACACUGAGGCACGAAAGCUAGGGGAGCGAACG